Molecule: long non-coding RNA, 3551 nt
Organism: Thunnus maccoyii (southern bluefin tuna)
Lineage: Eukaryota; Metazoa; Chordata; Actinopteri; Scombriformes; Scombridae
Exons: 3
Source: RefSeq, a predicted model, not a curated record
AUGAUAACAUAUGACUACAAGUUACUCAUCAGGAUAGGGAAAUGGUCAACUCUGCUACCUGGCUGGUCAAAAAUUUCAAAUGUAAACAUCAAGGAAACAUCGAUGAAAAGGUGGAGGGGAUAAACACCAGCUACAAUCCCAACCACAUAUACAAGCAAGACUAUCUCUGCGUCCAUCGCAACAUUGGAGGUAAAUGUUGAGGGAUUAAACACUGGCUGCAGUCCACGCCAAAUGGAUCCUUUCUGCCAAGCACCCAGCCAGCAAAUGUACAGGUGCUGGAUAAUAAACUGGACGACCUCUGUACCUGCAUCAGUUUCCAACAAGAUAUCAGGAACUGUAAUGUUCUUUGUUUCACUGAAAUUUGGCUAAAUCUUGGAAAACCGGAUAGUGCCAUUCAACCAGAUGACUCUUUUUUUGUAUAUCUAACAGAACAGAGGACUCUGGCAAGAAAAAAUGAGGAGGCGUGUACUUUAAAGUGAAUAAGGAUUGGUGUGAAAGUGGGAAUGUUAAAGUGCUAUCCCAUUUCUGUUCACCUGAUCUGGAGUUAUUGUCAAUCAAAUGCAGACACUUUCUACCAAGAGAAUUCACACAUCAUUAUCACAGCAGUCUACAUCCCACCUCAGGCAAGUACAGAGGCUGCCCUGUCAGAUCUUUGCAAAGACUUUAACUGCUCACAAACCGGUAAUCCUGAUGCUGCGCUCAUGGUUGCUGGAGACUUCAAUCAGACUAACCUUAAGAAGGUUAUGCCUGCCUUCCAUCAACAUACUGACUGCACCACACGGAGAAUAAACACUGCGAAUCACUGCUACAUGACAUUCAAAGACAGCUACAGAGUGGAACUGCUACCUGCAUUGGGGAAGAGCGACCAUGCGGCCAUCUUGCUGAGGUUAAAGUAUGUAAGCAAACUACAACACAUGCCCCCAGUGAUACAAGAGGUCAGGAAAUGGUCAGGCCAAUCAGAGGCUGCCCUACUGUCUGCACUACACGAUGCAGUCUGGAGUACAUUCCGGGGCACAACUGUCAACAUCACUGACAUCAAUGGAUACACUGAGUCUGUGGUGGAUUUAACUACAGUUAAAUCCAGGAGUUAAAGUGGGCCAGAACAAUCCGGAACAGCGUUCCGGCAUCUUUGAUUAACAAGUGAAUAAAUCUGAUUGGCAGUUUCAUACAUAAUAAUGUCAAGCAAGUUCAUUUUUAGCGGAGAUGGGUCCAGCUGCUGCCUGUAGAAAUGGAAGGCAGCUUGAGCCUCCAGUUAAACCAAUGGCAGAGUGGUGCUGUCCGUAUUUCCACUUGUUGACUCCAGGGGAAGUGAACACUGCAGAAGCAGUCACUCAAAGACUAACUGCAGCUUUAGCCAAAAUAUGAGAUAUUCGUGCUUUAUUAUGUUUAUGGUAAAAGAAACUCGCAAGACUUUUAUUUGUGCAACCUGAUAUUCAUCUGCUGGCCUUCAAUAAGUUUGUUCCUGACAUUUAAUCAGCUGUUUCUUCACUGUGGAAGCGCAUGAACAGCAAGAGACAAUAUUGUUUUAUCUCUGAAUUUUUGUCUUAUUCAUAACAUAACGUUAUUGAUAAUCUCUCCAUGCAAUAACAGUGAUAAUAUGAAUUGGUAUUAACAACAACGAACAACAGCAAAUGACAGUACUGUAUUUGUGACUGACAGUAAACCACUGUAGCAUUACUGUCUCUGAUGUAGUGAGACAGAUAAACUGGUUCAGAUAGACAAAGCCGCACCAGGCUUUGAUGAACAGAUGACACGGGUGUGCACGAUGUGACUCAGUAAUAUGUGUGAGUUAUAUAAAUGACCUGUGUGGGAAUUCUGCACCUUGCUGUCUGAGCUUCAGAAACUGAUCUGGAAUCUUUCCAGACUGAUAUUGACAUACGACAGAAGAGUUAGUUUGUUUUUCCUUUUGUGGAAUACACAUGCACACUGAGAUUUAACUAAGUUAUUGACUUUUUACACUGAAAUGUGUUAUUUUCAUUUAAUUUCUUUCAUAAUAACCCCCUAAUCUUGUCUGUCUUCUGUGUUCUGAUAACAGGCUGCAGGUUUUCUUUAGUUCUCUCUUUCUCUGUCUGAAAUCAGUGCAGUUCAGGUCCAUUCAGCUGCUGAAGAACUGUGAGGCAGCAUGUGGAGCAGCAGGACUGGUAGAUAUGUUUGUGAAUGUAUUAAUGUAUUUUAUAUCUGUGAUUAUAUGUUUUCUCAGUAAAAGCAGAGUCACAGACAGCAGGAUGAAGUAGCUGCAGCAGAUACCUGCUCAGCCUUCUCAUCAUCACCUCUGACCAUCAGCAGUGUCUGUCACUCAGACCUCUAAUUCUCCAGGUCUGAUGGCUCCAGGAUGAGGAUGAGGAUGGCACACUGGUCACCAGAGAACCAGCCUGAUCUGAACCGAGAGGUUUUCUGUGAUCACAACAAAUGGUUACGUCUAUAACUCUGUGACAUCAUCAGGAGAUCUGGAUCAAUGGACCUGAUGUUGCUUGUCAAUGCUGACUGUGAAAGAGGAUUCUCUGGAAUGAACAAUAUAAUAACGCCACUAUGGACACAACUACAAAUCAACAAGGUCCCAGCAUUGAUGUUCAUUUCUUUGGUUGGGCUUCCUUUGGACCACUAGGAUCCAGAAAAAUGUCAAGAAAUGGGUGCUUAAAAGAAGGUCAGCUGAUCACAUAGCCUGUCCGCAAAGAAAACAAGUCCACCAGAGCUCACAGUAUAUCAACACAGUAAUAUCAAUGGGUUCUUGGUGGAGAGGAUGGACAGCUUCAAGUACCUUGGUGUCCACAUCACCGAGGACCUGACUUGGGUGCUGCAUACUGACUGAGUGGAGAGAAAGGCAAGGCAGAGACUGUUUCACCUCAGAUGCUGGGUAUCCCCUCAAACAGUGAGGAAUUUCUACUGCUGCACCAUCUAGAGUGUCCUGAUGGGGAACAUCACUGCCUAGUAUGGAAACAGCACUGAGCAGGACCGCAAGGCCCUGCAAAGGGUGGUUCAUUCAGCUGAACAGACAUUAGGCGAAGCUGUACCCUGCCUAAAGGAUAUUUACACCAGGCACUACAAGAAUAAGCUAGAAGAAUCAUUAAAGAUCCCAACCAUCCGGAUAAUGGCCUUUUGUCCCUGCUGCGGUUGGGAAGAAAGGAACCGGAUACACAAGACCAGCACUGUGAGGCUCAGGCCACUAGAAUUUUAAAUGAGCUCGCUGCCAAAGACUGACCCCCAACCACCACCACUAUCAAUCAUACACACAUAUUAAUCACUAUUUCUAAACUCUUUUUAAUGCACAAAAUGAACGAACUGGUGGGAUUACAUUUCACUGUGAUUGUAUCUAAUAUGAUUAUAUGUGACAAACUUGAUUGAUUGAUUUGAUGUGGCAUUUCUGUGUGGAGAUGCCACAGAUUUAUUUUUUAACAUGUUUUAACUAUGCAUAAGAAAAACAUUUUCAGUCAAUCACUUUUAGAAGUAACACUACAUUUUAAUAAGUUAACCACUGUUGUAGAACUAUGAAGAUGUUGUAUGACAUACAGUACAGUAUAAGUGAAUAUGUUAUAUGUUGUCACUUAUACAAA